This 429-nucleotide ribosomal RNA is filed under the name Bacillota bacterium. Its description in RNAcentral is "Firmicutes bacterium partial 16S ribosomal RNA". It matches the Rfam family "Bacterial small subunit ribosomal RNA", at positions 355 to 776 of the family's 1533-position model. The record is from RNAcentral. Lineage: Bacteria; Bacillati; Bacillota.
UGGGGAAUUUUGCGCAAUGGGCGAAAGCCUGACGCAGCAACGCCGCGUGGGUGAUGAAGGUCUACGGAUCGUAAAACCCUGUCGUCGGGGACGAAGGUGGAGGGGUUAAUAGCCUCUUUGCUUGACGGUACCCGGAGAGGAAGCCCCGGCUAACUCUGUGCCAGCAGCCGCGGUAAUACAGAGGGGGCAAGCGUUAUUCGGAAUUAUUGGGCGUAAAGGGCGCGUAGGCGGCUUUUUAAGUGAGAUGUGUAAUCCCUGAGCUCAACUUGGGAACUGCAUCUCAUACUGGGAGGCUAGAGUACUGGAGAGGGUGGUAGAAUUCCACGUGUAGCGGUGAAAUGCGUAGAGAUGUGGAGGAAUACCAGUGGCGAAGGCGGCCACCUGGACAGUAACUGACGCUGAGGCGCGAAAGUGUGGGUAGCAAACAGG